GCUCAGAGUAUAAGCCAAUGGAGCUUGGAAGGCUUCCGCAGAUGGUGUCCAUCAUACGUGGUGUUCUUAAGACCUUGAGUGUGGCUCGUCAGGCGAAGCAUUGAGUUUGCCGGGUAGCUGUCGUGCGGGGGUUCGGCUUGGAGGUCUCAGGCUUCGGCCGAAGGGCUUCCGGCUGUCCCCUUUUGAAUGGACGUUCAGAGCUCUUGUGUCUAAUGCGGUUAUGCCCACCACAGCACGUUGUGAGGUCACCCACAGGCUCAAACUGCCGAUCGCGCAUCCAGGACGAUGGCAACGAUGCGUUGUUGAUGGAGACAGAGACUUCACUCACACGCGUGUCUAGUCCUGGGUCGGGCGGCGACCGAGAUAAACCUGGUAUGAUCCUCUUGCGACGAGCUGCUUUCUGGCCAGACCGACGUCCAGGCGCUUCCACUGUGCCGGAAGCGUCUAUCCCAGGCGGUGUGAACCCAGCUGCAUUAUGCAAGGUCUCUCAGCCGGGCGUUGGUCUGAGUGGUGUUAAGUCCAGCACCAUCGGUCACGUCUCGAAACACGGGCCAAGGAGUAUAGCAUGUGUGCAAGUCUAAGGGUCUCACAAAACCCGAAGGCGAAGUGAAAGCAAGACUGUGGCGGGGGAGCUACGGCAAACCCGCCGGCCUAGUGUGGCGCUUGCGUCACCUGGCUUUUAGCAGAGCUGAUCCUGUUUAUCGGUUAAUUCUUGGUGCAGGCGCAAGCUCCGGGCUCACGUACAACACUGGUCACGCCUCGCG
RNAcentral lists this ribosomal RNA (764 nucleotides) under Niphargus rhenorhodanensis. RNAcentral describes it as "partial 28S ribosomal RNA". Lineage: Eukaryota; Metazoa; Arthropoda; Malacostraca; Amphipoda; Niphargidae. The record is from RNAcentral.